AGCGAACGCUGGCGGCAGGCCUAACACAUGCAAGUCGAACGGCAGCACAGUAAGAGCUUGCUCUCACGGGCGGCGAGUGGCGGAAGGGUGAGGAAUACACCGGAAUCCACUUUUUCGUGGGGGAUAACGUAGGGAAACUUAUGCUAAUACAGCAUACGACCUACGGGUGAAAGCAGGGGUUCUUUGGACUUUGCGCGAUUGAAUGAGCCGAUGUCGGAUUAGCUAGUUGGCGGGGCAAAGGCCCACCAAGGCGACGAUCCGUAACUGGUCUGAGAGGGUGGUCACACAGACUGGAAGUGAGACACGUUCGCGACACCUGCGGUGGGCAACGGUGGGGAAUAUUGGGCGAUGCAGGCGAGCCUAAUCCAGCCAUACCGCGUAGAGGAAGAAGCCCUUCGGGUGGUAGAGCCCUUUUGUUGGGAGGGAAAAACAGCAGGUUAAUACCCCACGAUUCUGACGGUACCCAAAGAAUAAGCUCCGGCUAACUUCGUG
This 492-nucleotide ribosomal RNA is filed under the name uncultured bacterium. RNAcentral describes it as "partial 16S ribosomal RNA". It matches the Rfam family "Bacterial small subunit ribosomal RNA", at positions 29 to 507 of the family's 1533-position model. The record is from RNAcentral.